ACGUUUGUGAGUCCCUGCUGUGUUGUCACCCUUGGAACCCUUCUCCACCAGUCUAGCUGAACUCGAGGACAUCUGCCCUAUCCUGGUUGCUUUAGCGCCUGGAUCAGGGAAUCCUCUUCCCUGUCCUUGAGCUCUAGCCCUGGUUUCUUUGCAUGUGUGGGGGUGGUCUUCGUGCCUUCAGGUUUGUGUAGCUUCCCUCCCCAGCCCCUGGGUUUGCCCUAUCCCAGCGCCUUGCAUGCCAUGUCCCUGCGCAUGGUGACCAAAUCCACCUGAUUGUUCACCUCACCAUGGCCAGGGAUCCUCGACGGGGUUUUCAGCCGCGUUGUGCUCGUCCCAUAAUCUCCAGAGGUCAGUGAUGCUCACCAGAUUUCCCUUUUUAAUGCUGUAGUUGUUUGCUGGAUGGAACAAGGUUGCGCCACUGUGUAUUGGCGCCAGGGACAGCCAUCACAUUGACCCAUUCACCCGCGCCAUUUCCGGUCAAGUUCACACGCGCACCAUAGGUUUAUGUGAUCGCUGAAGCUCUCUGAGUCCUUAGUCGGAGCUCUACCGCACGGGUUCACGGGAUCGAGCUUUCGGGCUGAGCUUGCCGCACCGCCGUCGAAAGCUCGGUUUUAGGAUCUCCAUGAGACAAACAUUAUGGGGUGUCUAAAUUGGUAAGCUCUCUGGUAAAUGUGUUGUUGGGAUCUUUAGUGCAGUUUACAAAUGUUAAGUAAUUUAGUGUGCUCUAAAAAGGAUUAAUUGAAUAUUUAGGGAGCAAUUAUGAGCACCAAAAAUUGUGAAAACUUGUGGAGAGUCUUGUUAUCAGAAGAUAAACUCUUGGUAAAAGUUUGAGGCUGUUUGUAAGCCAUUUGCUCAGAAAUCCUUGUAGAGUCCCUAAUUGGAAUAAUAAGGAGAACAUAAUCACAUGUGGAUUAGAACUUUGGAAGAAGGAACAAGUUUAACAAGUGAAACCUGAUCUUUGGAUAAAGAAGCAAGAGUGCCUAGUGGUAUCUAGAUUUUUGGCGUAGUUUGAAGAUUGUUCUAAUCCUCUAGAUGUUCAAGUUGUAGGAUUCAAGUCAAAGAAGUAAGUCCUUACUUAAUGCAAGCAUAGAGUGCUUGGUUUUGGAGGCAGAAUUCCCUGGUGUGGUUCGAGAGCUUAGUGAUGAUAUUAGAAUGUUUAGCUCCCCUGUUGUUUGGUUAGUUUUGUGUGCACCUUUAGUAAGGUGUAGUUUGUACUGCUUUAAAGUAUCUUCUUUGUAGUUGCAUAAGUAUAUGCAUUCAUGUUCAUAUCAUUUCAUGUAGAGCUCCCAAAAUAAAGAGUGAAGAUUCAAGAUGAAGUGGUUGCUAAAGAGGAGUCUACUCCAAUGCCUGCUUAUCAAGUGGAUGGAGCUAUCUAACUAAAGGUUGGGUAGAAGGAUUUUGGGAUCUUCUCCUGCAACAAGGCAAGCCCCGGUGCAUUUGCCACCCUCCUUGUAUUUACAAAAUUUUAUCACUUAUAUGAUGCAUUAGGUGAUAGGAGUUGAUUGAUUAAACACUUGAUGCAUUACCAUUCCUUGAAAGAAUUGAUUACCACACCUUGUCACCUGUUUUAUAAAAGCUAGAGAUGCUUAGUCAUGCUGAUAGACUAAGAAAAAUAUUUUUGAUCUGUGACUCAUGUUUUUACAAAAAGAAAAUGGGCUUGGGAUAAUGAAGGCAUCAAGACGUUGAUAAAUUCAUUAUCCAGGCAUGGCCCCUCUGUCAGGCGCCAAAGUUUUGAAAUAGCUUAAAAUGGGACCAGACGUUGAGCAGGAAAGGUCGCCCGUCUGUGUCGAUUAAGGACCGUACCGAUUGUUGGCCUGAUGAUCUAGGACCUUUUAACUGGCCACAUACCUCGUCAUGGGUAAGCCUGAACCCGGCUAUUCCAUACGUGAAAAGACAACCGCGCACUGGGCGUGGGAGAUGGUGGGAGUAGCAGUUACCCUCCUGGCAAGAGGCUGAAUGGUAGGGUAAUGUGCUCCCGGGUAGCGCGGACCAGUUCAUGUAGUGGAGGAUCCGUGGGAAUGGUUGACAUAUGCAAGGGUUAAGUGCUACAUAUGUCGUGUGGUUGGAGAUCCCCAGCUGGGUAUUAAUCGAUUCGGAUCGCCAUUACUUCUCGGAUAUGAAGACUGGAUCGCUGCCCUUCAUCGUAGAUAACAAGCGAAACAAAAAUUUGGAUUUUAAAAGCAACCUAGUGUAGGUCAAGUGAAUGAUCUAGAUUAGGAAAAUGCUAGAUUCAGGCUAGAAGAUUCAGGUAAUAAACUAACUCGUGAAAUAAAACUUGGCUUAAGGAGCCACUUCUAGUAAGCUUUUCUGCAAAAUGAGUCCUUGAACUUUGAUGAGCUUUACCUUGAUUCCCAAAAGCCAUCAUACCCUUGAGAGUCUUUUCUUUAGUCGGGUAAGUCUUGUUGAGUAAUUGCAUACUCAGGGUUUUAUCCCUUGUUGUUUUUGUAGGUGAAGUUUUAUUCCCUUAUCUUUGGGUUAGUUACUUCAUGUGGAUGACUUGAAGCUUAGAAUGUUUCUAUAUAUCUCUUAUGGAAAGGCUUCACCCUUCCAAUUAUUGUAAUAAGUUAUGCACUUCGAGUACUAUCAGGACUUGAAAUAAAUACAUCUCUUUCUACCAUGUAAAGCUUGAGUUCUGGAAUGUAAAGUGUACUUUGUAAAAGUCUUCCGCUCGAUCUCCAAUGUGUGUGUAUCAAAUGUGAUUACUGUAAUAUACCUG
Molecule: long non-coding RNA, 2716 nt
Filed under: Zea mays
Lineage: Eukaryota; Viridiplantae; Streptophyta; Magnoliopsida; Poales; Poaceae
Description: long non-coding RNA (ZMAY_LNC004737)
Source: RNAcentral